This 460-nucleotide ribosomal RNA is filed under the name uncultured bacterium. RNAcentral describes it as "partial 16S ribosomal RNA". It matches the Rfam family "Bacterial small subunit ribosomal RNA", at positions 338 to 795 of the family's 1533-position model. The record is from RNAcentral.
CCUACGGGUGGCAGCAGUGAGGAAUAUUGGUCAAUGGGCGCGAGCCUGAACCAGCCAAGUCGCGUGAGGGAGGACGGCCCUACGGGUUGUACACCUCUUUUGCCGGGGAGCAACGGGCGUCACGUGUUGCGCCACUUAGUGUACCCGGAGACAAAGCAUCGGCUAACUGCGUUACAGCAGCCGCGGUAAUACGGAGGAUGCGAGCGUUAUCCGGAUUUCUUGGGUUAACAGGUUGCGUAGGCGGAUAGUUAAGUCAGUGGUAAAAUUGAGGGGAUCAACCCCUUCCCGCCAUUGAAACUGGCGUUCUGGAGUGGAAGAGAAGUAUGCGGAAUGCGUGGUGUAGCGGUGAAAUGCAUAGAUAUCACGCAGAACCCCGAUUGCGAAGGCAGCAUGCCGGCUUCCGACUGACGCUGAAGCACGAAAGCGUGGGGAUCGAACAGGAUUAGAUACCCCAGUAGUC